AUUGAACGCUGGCGGCAUGCCUUACACAUGCAAGUCGAACGGCAGCACGGGAGCAAUCCUGGUGGCGAGUGGCGAACGGGUGAGUAAUAUAUCGGAACGUGCCCAGUCGUGGGGGAUAACGUAGCGAAAGCUACGCUAAUACCGCAUACGAUCUAUGGAUGAAAGCGGGGGAUCGCAAGACCUCGCGCGAUUGGAGCGGCCGAUAUCAGAUUAGGUAGUUGGUGAGGUAAAGGCUCACCAAGCCGACGAUCUGUAGCUGGUCUGAGAGGACGACCAGCCACACUGGGACUGAGACACGGCCCAGACUCCUACGGGAGGCAGCAGUGGGGAAUUUUGGACAAUGGCGCAAGCCUGAUCCAGCAAUGCCGCGUGCAGGAUGAAGGCCUUCGGGUUG
RNAcentral lists this ribosomal RNA (394 nucleotides) under uncultured bacterium. Its description in RNAcentral is "bacterial SSU rRNA". It matches the Rfam family "Bacterial small subunit ribosomal RNA", at positions 30 to 425 of the family's 1533-position model. The record is from RNAcentral.